This 468-nucleotide ribosomal RNA is filed under the name uncultured bacterium. RNAcentral describes it as "partial 16S ribosomal RNA". It matches the Rfam family "Bacterial small subunit ribosomal RNA", at positions 28 to 507 of the family's 1533-position model. The record is from RNAcentral.
GACGAACGCUGGCGGCGUGCUUAACACAUGCAAGUCGAACGGAAAGGCCCUGCUUUUGCGGGGUGCUCGAGUGGCGAACGGGUGAGUAACACGUGAGUAACCUGCCCUUGACUUUGGGAUAACUUCAGGAAACUGGGGCUAAUACCGGAUAGGAGCUCCUGCUGCAUGGUGGGGGUUGGAAAGUUUCGGCGGUUGGGGAUGGACUCGCGGCUUAUCAGCUUGUUGGUGGGGUAGUGGCUUACCAAGGCUUUGACGGGUAGCCGGCCUGAGAGGGUGACCGGCCACAUUGGGACUGAGAUACGGCCCAGACUACUACGGGAGGCAGCAGUGGGGAAUAUUGCACAAUGGGCGGAAGCCUGAUGCAGCAACGCCGCGUGCGGGAUGACGGCCUUCGGGUUGUAAACCGCUUUCGCCUGUGACGAAGCGUGAGUGACGGUAAUGGGUAAAGAAGCACCGGCUAACUACGUG